AUUACUUCUCUGCCUUUUGGCUAAGAUCAAGUGUAGUACCUGUUCUUGUCAGAUUACUGUCUGAUACAUCCUCUAUCCGAGGAAAAUAUAUUAAAUGGAUUUUUAGAAGUAGGAGUUGGAAUAGGAGCUUGCUCCAUCCACUCCACACAUCAAUCUGGUAUUGCAGUACCUCCAGGAAUGGUGGAUAUAAG
RNAcentral lists this small nuclear RNA (191 nucleotides) under Neotoma lepida (desert woodrat). RNAcentral's name for it is "U2 spliceosomal RNA". It matches the Rfam family "U2 spliceosomal RNA". From Rfam's summary of the family: U2 is a small nuclear RNA (snRNA) component of the spliceosome (involved in pre-mRNA splicing). Complementary binding between U2 snRNA (in an area lying towards the 5' end but 3' to hairpin I) and the branchpoint sequence (BPS) of the intron results the bulging out of an unpaired adenosine, on the BPS, which initiates a nucleophilic attack at the intronic 5' splice site, thus starting the first of two transesterification reactions that mediate splicing. The record is from Rfam by way of RNAcentral. Lineage: Eukaryota; Metazoa; Chordata; Mammalia; Rodentia; Cricetidae.